UGGUUUUGUCUUAACUAGGAAUGCGCUGGUCCGAUACCACCGAAAAAUACGGGAAUCAGGUAUACCGGCAACAGCGAGUCAAUAUUGUAAUGAUCUGAUACCACGAACCAGAUUGUAAUAACAGUGUGCGGAAAACACGUGACCGCAGCUCAGAAUAGAAACCGAGGCAUCCCAAUUGGUUCCCUAUUUCCUAUAUAGUGUCAUACUAUUGGUCGGAGCCCUGGUGCACUACAGGGAAUAGGGCACCAUUUGUAACACACUCCGUCCAGAGAUCCCCAGGAACCAGAGGAGAGGGGGGCGAUGCUGCUGCAUCCCAGGGCAAGGCCUUUCAUCUGGAAGUAUUUUAGAAGUCUAUUUUGGUAUCCCGACCCUCGCCAGCCAACCUGACCGCCUCUCUGGAUUAUUCCCAACGUACUGCGGCUUCUGAUCUGCAUUCAUACCCAGUUAUCAACCUUCUUACUUCAUUCCAGGCUGUCCCUUUAUAUACCUUUGCUACUCCCUCAUAAAGGUCCUGCACUCUGAGCUUGGAUCCAUCCCCCCAUCCAACCUGCUCUGUGUGCAUUCAUUACAGAAUAUAUAAAAAAUAAAAAUGAUUUGCUAACAAAGAUAAUAUAAAAACAAUCUGAAAUUCUAUAAGAAUU
This is a long non-coding RNA of Esox lucius (northern pike), 641 nucleotides long. RefSeq lists it as uncharacterized. The transcript has 3 exons. NCBI's taxonomy places the organism in Eukaryota, Metazoa, Chordata, Actinopteri, Esociformes, Esocidae. The record is from RefSeq and is a predicted model, not a curated record.